ACGGCAGCGCGGGGUAACCUGGCGGCGAGUGGCGAACGGGUGAGUAAUACAUCGGAACGUGCCCUGUGAUGGGGGAUAACUACGCGAAAGCGUACCUAAUACCGCAUACGACCUACGGGUGAAAGUGGGGGAUCGCAAGACCUCACGUCAUAGGAGCGGCCGAUGGCGGAUUAGCUAGUUGGUGAGGUAAAGGCUUACCAAGGCAACGAUCCGUAGCUGGUCUGAGAGGACGACCAGCCACACUGGGACUGAGACACGGCCCAGACUCCUACGGGAGGCAGCAGUGGGGAAUCUUGGACAAUGGGGGCAACCCUGAUCCAGCAAUGCCGCGUGUGGGAUGAAGGCCUUCGGGUUGUAAACCUCUUUUGGCCGGGACGAAAAAUCUAGGGCUAAUACGCCUCUGGGAUGACGGUACCCGGAGAAUAAGCCCCGGCUAACUACGUGCCAGCAGCGGG
RNAcentral lists this ribosomal RNA (455 nucleotides) under uncultured Thiomonas sp. RNAcentral's name for it is "bacterial SSU rRNA". It matches the Rfam family "Bacterial small subunit ribosomal RNA", at positions 66 to 521 of the family's 1533-position model. The record is from RNAcentral. Lineage: Bacteria; Pseudomonadati; Pseudomonadota; Betaproteobacteria; Burkholderiales.